This 301-nucleotide ribosomal RNA is filed under the name uncultured bacterium. Its description in RNAcentral is "partial 16S ribosomal RNA". It matches the Rfam family "Bacterial small subunit ribosomal RNA", at positions 509 to 807 of the family's 1533-position model. The record is from RNAcentral.
CAGUAGCCACGGUAAUACGAGGGGGGCAAGCGUUGUUCGGAAUUAUUGGGCGUAAAGGGCGCGUAGGCGGUUUGGCAAGUUUCGUGUGAAAUCUUCGGGCUCAACUCAAAGUCUGCACGGAAAACUGCCGGGCUUGAGUAUGGGAGAGGUGAGUGGAAUUUCCGGUGUAGCGGUGAAAUGCGUAGAUAUCGGAAGGAACACCUGUGGCGAAAGCGGCUCACUGGACCAUUACUGACGCUGAGGCGCGAAAGCUAGGGGAGCAAACAGGAUUAGAGACCCGUGUAGUCCCUGUCUCUUAUAC